Long non-coding RNA from Hypanus sabinus (Atlantic stingray), 1867 nucleotides. RefSeq lists it as uncharacterized. Lineage: Eukaryota; Metazoa; Chordata; Chondrichthyes; Myliobatiformes; Dasyatidae. The transcript has 3 exons. The record is from RefSeq and is a predicted model, not a curated record.
CUGAUGAAUACAAAUACAAACAUAAGCUGUAGCAGAAAAUUAAAUUCAAGGAAAUCGGUUUUCUGCGCCCCACCCCCAAGACAUUUGUACAUGAUAAUGAAUCCAUUAGUUGAAUGAAAAACUCAGCAGUGGAACAGUUAGUACACAAACACAGAAGCAGAAAAGAUGCUCUUUCCCAGUCUUGUUUUAGUCACCAGUAGUUUGUUAAGAUGCAGUUUUUAGCUGGCUCCCAUCAGCUGGUAGUGAAGUGUGUAAAGCACGCUCAAACCUGGUCAGUUUUAUCGUUUCAACAUGUUCACCAAAAGGGGGAAAAAAAAGACAAACGGAAGCAGCUUGGCAAAUUGAACACAACGCAGCUGGCAAGAAAUCAAUAUGUUAAAUGGUAAAUCAUUUCUGACAAUAUUAACUGUUAAAAGGUAUUUUUUUCCAGUUUGGUGCAAGCUCCAGCACUCAACAUCUGGCCAUUUAAUAGUUUACUGAAGGUGUGAGUAAAUUAAAAGCACAGGAGCAAACAUUUAGAACGCUGUUGAAUUUCACAUGGAUAAUUCUAAAUCAAUACUAAUUACGGCACUUUGGAAUGUCUGGACUUUCCUUCAAUGCAUGGAUUAUGUUCAAAUAAGAACAAAGGUGUGCAAAGUAUCUUUGUACUGAAGCUGAAUUUGCAGUCUCCUAAGCCUUGAGAGAUAUUGAAUUCCAAACCUCAUUACUUCCCUACUAAUUCCCUUGCUUACACUCUGUGGCUUGUCUGUUGGAUGCGUGUAUGUGGCUUGGCAGUAGGGAAUGCAGCUGAAUCACGAGUCAAGUCUAUCCCCACCGCAGGCUUCAUGUUUCACUGAUACCUUGAGCUCAAGUGGCUAAGGCUUACAAAAUCUGUUCGCUGCCAUUGAUGCAGCAAAUUAUUCAUUAUUAAAACAGUUCUGCAAGGAACACGUAGAUUUCAAAUCAACAACAUGGUAAAAAUAACCAAGUUCCCAUCACUUCCUAUUAUUGGAAACUCAGCAUUCCUAAAAACACUCAUGGGAGACUAAUCAAAGGUUCACACAGAACUGAAGGGAAAUGACUGAACAGCAGGAGACCAGAGAUCUGCUCUUUACUACUUUACUCAUAUAGAAUUCAAAGGCACAGAGUGAUAUUUACCUGAACAUUGAGAAGAAAUCCCAAUCUCAGGAUCAUGGAACAGAGAAACAAUUAACUUUCUUCAUUUUUCAUUGAACUCAGUUGCAAGCUUUAAUUUUAACUGCUAAUCUAUUUCAUGAUGAAUUAUUCUUACGUUACUUAUUAUUGAUCUUUGACAAUAUUAUCAUUAACUAACUGUAUUCCAAAAACCUUAUUGCAUUGCACUCUGCUCAGUAAAAGUGGUAAGUGAGGACAAAAGAUGUCUUACAGCCCAAAUGUCCAGGCUCACAUUUGCAAGUUUACAUUUAAGAAGAUGUUGCACAGGUCACAGUAAUCCAAGAAAUAACACAUCGAAGAAACAAAAUACUUUCCUAUCAUCUUUAAAAGGACGUUGCCUUUUCUGGCACAUUGAUAUGUCCACUCUCAGCAGUUCCUAUAAAGGACUGGCCAUGGUUACCAAGCUUUGGAGUACCUUUGUAUGACAUCUCCAAGAAUCUCCCAGCAAGAGUGAAAUCAGUAACCUGUUUGUGGCAGCUCCUUGGAAGAGCUCGGAGUGAUCAGGAGCCAGAUCAUCACCAAUGACUCUUCUUACCUAGGCCAACAACACUGAUACUCCGAGCUACUAGCAUGGAACCAAAACCCAGGCAGUUUACCUACAAGGUGGAGAGGUGGAGAGGGUCUGCAACUUUACCUUCCUCAGUGUUACCAUUUUAGAGGACCUGAACUUGGCCCAGCAUGCAUUUAUUGAGAA